GAGUUUGAUCAUGGCUCAGAUUGAACGCUGGCGGCAUGCCUUACACAUGCAAGUCGAACGGCAGCACGGGAGCUUGCUCCUGGUGGCGAGUGGCGAACGGGUGAGUAAUGCAUCGGAACGUAUCCUGGAGUGGGGGAUAACGUAGCGAAAGUUACGCUAAUACCGCAUAUUCUGUGAGCAGGAAAGCGGGGGACCUUCGGGCCUCGCGCUCUUGGAGCGGCCGAUGUCGGAUUAGCUAGUUGGUGAGGUAAAGGCUCACCAAGGCGACGAUCCGUAGCAGGUCUGAGAGGAUGAUCUGCCACACUGGAACUGAGACACGGUCCAGACUCCUACGGGAGGCAGCAGUGGGGAAUUUUGGACAAUGGGGGCAACCCUGAUCCAGCCAUGCCGCGUGAGUGAAGAAGGCCUCGGUG
This 413-nucleotide ribosomal RNA is filed under the name bacterium enrichment culture clone ALO1_GLFRUDD03F2SM0. Its description in RNAcentral is "bacterial SSU rRNA". It matches the Rfam family "Bacterial small subunit ribosomal RNA", at positions 9 to 422 of the family's 1533-position model. The record is from RNAcentral.